Molecule: ribosomal RNA, 253 nt
Filed under: uncultured bacterium
Lineage: Bacteria
Description: partial 16S ribosomal RNA
Rfam family: Bacterial small subunit ribosomal RNA
Source: RNAcentral
UACGAAGGGGGCUAGCGUUGCUCGGAAUCACUGGGCGUAAAGGGUGCGUAGGUGGAUUUUUAAGUCAGGGGUGAAAUCCUGGAGCUCAACUCCAGAACUGCCUUUGAUACUGGGAAUCUUGAGUUCGGGAGAGGUGAGUGGAACUGCGAGUGUAGAGGUGAAAUUCGUAGAUAUUCGCAAGAACACCAGUGGCGAAGGCGGCUCACUGGCCCGAUACUGACACUGAGGCACGAAAGCGUGGGGAGCGAUCCGG